RNAcentral lists this ribosomal RNA (253 nucleotides) under uncultured bacterium. Its description in RNAcentral is "partial 16S ribosomal RNA". It matches the Rfam family "Bacterial small subunit ribosomal RNA", at positions 524 to 776 of the family's 1533-position model. The record is from RNAcentral.
UACGUAGGGUCCGAGCGUUGUCCGGAAUUACUGGGCGUAAAGAGCUCGUAGGCGGUCUGUCGCGUCGGCUGUGAAAACUCGGGGCUCAACCCCGAGCCUGCAGUCGAUACGGGCAGACUAGAGUGCUGUAGGGGAGACUGGAAUUCCUGGUGUAGCGGUGAAAUGCGCAGAUAUCAGGAGGAACACCGGUGGCGAAGGCGGGUCUCUGGGCAGUAACUGACGCUGAGGAGCGAAAGCGUGGGGAGCGAACAGG